GCCUCUGGAGGCGUCUGGUGACGUCGGCGGAUUGUCCAUCCGAAUCAGGCGAGUUCGAUUCUCGUCAGGGGCG
This 73-nucleotide transfer RNA is filed under the name Deltaproteobacteria bacterium. RNAcentral's name for it is "tRNA-Asp". The record is from RNAcentral. Lineage: Bacteria; Pseudomonadati; Myxococcota; Myxococcia.